UGCAAGUCGAGCGGAUGAGUGGAGCUUGCUCCAUGAUUCAGCGGCGGACGGGUGAGUAAUGCCUAGGAAUCUGCCUGGUAGUGGGGGACAACGUUUCGAAAGGAACGCUAAUACCGCAUACGUCCUACGGGAGAAAGCAGGGGACCUUCGGGCCUUGCGCUAUCAGAUGAGCCUAGGUCGGAUUAGCUAGUUGGUGGGGUAAAGGCCUACCAAGGCGACGAUCCGUAACUGGUCUGAGAGGAUGAUCAGUCACACUGGAACUG
This 263-nucleotide ribosomal RNA is filed under the name Pseudomonas sp. 2C(2010). RNAcentral's name for it is "partial 16S ribosomal RNA". It matches the Rfam family "Bacterial small subunit ribosomal RNA", at positions 56 to 321 of the family's 1533-position model. Lineage: Bacteria; Pseudomonadati; Pseudomonadota; Gammaproteobacteria; Pseudomonadales; Pseudomonadaceae. The record is from RNAcentral.